UUUGUAUCUGACAGUUUCAACAUCUGCAGUCUGAAAGUCUGUGGUUUCUGGGUUCUGUUGACUUGUAGAGUGGCUUGCCUUCUCAAGCUAUAAUCUCUUUGCUUGAUGUACCUCCGUGACAGUCUUGCAGAAUCAACUUGAAGAAAUUUUCUUUUAGAGAAGGCUCGCUUCUGCCUCUGCUCUGAGCCAAGGGGUGCCCCGCACCAGGAACUGUUACCCCUUCUGAGAGUUUUGGUUCAAAACAGAGUUUUAAGCUUAGUUUCCCCUCCUCGCUGCUGUUGCAAGGUAAUAUGCUAACAGUCAGUACUGCUCACCUUCCUCCUUCCCCCUCUCCUGCCUUUCCAGUUUGGCUCCAUGCUGCACUGCCUCACCACUGCACCAGCCUUGGUGCCCCAUCUCUGUGGCCCAGGCUUCCAGCCUCCCACCUUGGGCCCACCUCCUGGCUACUGCCGAUGCAGAUCUUUGUUUGUUUUUGAAGAAAAGGUCCCUAGAGACCUCUCCUACCUUUUGCAAGACCAUUGGUGUCUCAGUGUGUGUGUAAACAAAAAGUUUGAGUUGUGGGGAAGUUGUAGGAGAGUUCCUCAGAACUUAGUCCUUCAUGACAACAGAAGCACAGCGUUUUCUAAACAUUAAAAAUCUUAAUUACACUAAAACUCCAGGAUGGUUGGGCCAGGGGGGAAUAAAUCAUGUUAACUAAGAAAGCAAGGGAGGGAACUACUGAGAACAUCAAGGUUGGAAUCCAUAUUGCUUCAAGCCGGAGGCCAGUUCCUGGUCGGUGGCUCCCAUGGUGGUCUCUGAUGUUUAGGAAGUGGUGUCAGCAGAGACUGAGCUGCACCCUUUCUUUGGACAGAUGGCAGGAGAGGAGAACUUCAAGGAAGAGCUCAGAUCCCAGGAUGCUUCCAGGAACUUGAACCAGCAUGAGGCAGCAGGACAUCCACAUUCCUGGUCUCUGGAGAUGCUGUUACGCAGAUUGAGGGCUGUCCACACCAAACAGAAUGACAAGUUUGCCAACCUCCUGGAUGCGGUGGGGGAGUUUGGCACAUUCCAGCAGAGGCUAGUAGCCCUCACCUUUAUCCCCAGCAUCAUGUCGGCCUUCUUCAUGUUUGCUGACCACUUCGUGUUCACAGCCCAGAAGCCCUAUUGCAAUACCAGCUGGAUCCUGGCAGUGGGCCCCCACCUGUCCGAAGCUGAGCAGCUGAAUCUGACCAUACCCCAAGCACCCAAUGGCAGUUUCCUGACAUGCCUCAUGUACCUUCCUGUGCCUUGGAAUCUGGAUUCUAUCAUCCAGUUUGGCCUCAAUGACACAGACACAUGCCAAGAUGGGUGGAUCUAUCCUGAUGCUAAGAAGCGAUCACUGACCAAUGAGUUUGACUUGGUAUGUGGCAUGGAGACGAAGAAGGACACUGCACAGAUCAUGUUCAUGGCAGGGCUCCUGAUAGGCUCUCUCAUCUUCGGGCUCAUAACUGACAAGUGAGUCCCCAGGAGUUUCUGCUGGUCCCCAAGCCAUCCCAACUCCUCCUCAUGGGCAUUCAGGGUUGGAGUGUGUCAGGCUGAGGGAGGUGAGGGUAGGGGUUCUCCAGGGACCCAUGGAGGGCUCAGGGCCUGGCCCAGGUGUAUCUGGCUGGGGCCAGCCAGGGAGAUCCCGGCGCUUGGUGCAGCCUCCCUUUGACACAUGUAGGAUGGGCCGCUACCCUGCCAUCCUGCUGUCACUGCUGGGGCUGAUCAUCUUCGGCUUUGGGACAGCCUUCGUGAACAGCUUUCACCUGUAUUUGUUCUUUCGCUUUGGCAUCUCGCAGUCAGUGGUGGGCUACGCCAUCAGCAGCAUUUCUUUGGGUGAGACUGGGCCUCAAUGGGGCAGGGCAGGGUGGCACAGGGGCAUGGCGGCAUAGGCGGGUGACAAGGGGACGUAGUGGCAGGGGGCGUGGCGGCAUAGGCGGAUGGCAAGGGGGCGUGGUGUGGCUGCAAGAGGGCGUGGCGGGGGUGUGGCGUCGUGGGCACCUGCUGGGAGCCCACAGGACACACAGUCAGGGGCCUAAUUGGACAGGCAGAAGUGGAAGGGAUCUCCGUUCCUGGCUGCCUAGAGAUGCCAGAGAAUCAGUGCCCUGACUGCCCUUCCACCUUCAUCCUCCUUCCUAACUCCCUCAUACCCCACACCUUCCACCACAUACUCUUUGCAUACCCCCAAGCCCCAUGGGUUACAUUGAUUGAGCCCUUAAGAAAGGCCAGGCAAAAAAAAAAAAAAAAAAGAAGAAGAAGAAGGAGGAGGAGGAGGAGG
RNAcentral lists this small RNA (2275 nucleotides) under Pongo abelii (Sumatran orangutan). RNAcentral's name for it is "retained intron". The record is from RNAcentral. Lineage: Eukaryota; Metazoa; Chordata; Mammalia; Primates; Hominidae.